AUUGAACGCUGGCGGCAUGCCUUACACAUGCAAGUCGAACGGUAACAGGUCUUCGGAUGCUGACGAGUGGCGAACGGGUGAGUAAUACAUCGGAACGUGCCCGAUCGUGGGGGAUAACGAGGCGAAAGCUUUGCUAAUACCGCAUACGAUCUACGGAUGAAAGCGGGGGAUCUUCGGACCUCGCGCGGACGGAGCGGCCGAUGGCAGAUUAGGUAGUUGGUGGGAUAAAAGCUUACCAAGCCGACGAUCUGUAGCUGGUCUGAGAGGAUGAUCAGCCACACUGGGACUGAGACACGGCCCAGACUCCUACGGGGGGCAGUAGUGGGGAAUUUUGGACAAUGGGCGAAAGCCUGAUCCAGCCAUGCCGCGUGCAGGAUGAAGGCCUUUGGGUUGUAAACUGCUUUUGUACGGAACGAAAAGCCUCUUUCUAAUAAAGAGGGGUCAUGACGGUACCGUAAGAAUAAGCACCGGCUAACUACGUG
Molecule: ribosomal RNA, 482 nt
Filed under: uncultured bacterium
Lineage: Bacteria
Description: partial 16S ribosomal RNA
Rfam family: Bacterial small subunit ribosomal RNA
Source: RNAcentral